Molecule: ribosomal RNA, 422 nt
Filed under: uncultured bacterium
Lineage: Bacteria
Description: bacterial SSU rRNA
Rfam family: Bacterial small subunit ribosomal RNA
Source: RNAcentral
UGAGGAAUAUUGGUCAAUGGGGGCAACCCUGAACCAGCCAAGUCGCGUGAAGGAUGAAGGUCUUAUGGAUUGUAAACUUCUUUUACACGGGAAUAAAGUGGGGGACGUGUCCCCCUUUGCAUGUACCGUGUGAAUAAGGAUCGGCUAACUCCGUGCCAGCAGCCGCGGUAAUACGGAGGAUCCGAGCGUUAUCCGGAGUUAUUGGGUUUAAAGGGUGCGCAGGCGGGAUGUUAAGUCGGCGGUGAAAUUUUGCAGCUCAACUGUAAAAGUGCCUUCGAUACUGGCCUCCUUGAGUGUGGAUGAAGUAGGCGGAAUUUGUGGUGCAGCGGUGAAAUGCUUAGAUAUCACGAGGAACUCCGAUUGCGCAGGCAGCUUACUAAGCCACAACUGACGCUCAUGCACGAAGGCGUGGGGAUCAAACA